This 872-nucleotide ribosomal RNA is filed under the name uncultured bacterium. RNAcentral's name for it is "bacterial SSU rRNA". It matches the Rfam family "Bacterial small subunit ribosomal RNA", at positions 9 to 861 of the family's 1533-position model. The record is from RNAcentral.
GAGUUUGAUCCUGGCUCAGAAUGAACGCUGGCGGCGUGCCUAACACAUGCAAGUCGAACGAGAAAGGGGGAUUCGUCUCCCGAGUAAAGUGGCGCACGGGUGAGUAACGCGUGGGUGACCUACCCUGGAAUUUGGGAUAACACUGCGAAAGUGGUGCUAAUACCGGAUACGAUCCUUCAGCGAUGGAGGGUGAAAGUCGGCCUCUCGAAGAAGCUGAUGUUCUGGGAUGGGCUCGCGUCCUAUCAGCUAGUUGGUAGGGUAAUGGCCUACCAAGGCGACGACGGGUAGCUGGUCUGAGAGGAUGAUCAGCCACACUGGCACUGGAACACGGGCCAGACUCCUACGGGAGGCAGCAGUGAGGAAUUUUGCGCAAUGGGGGAAACCCUGACGCAGCAACGCCGCGUGGGUGAAGAAGGCCUUCGGGUCGUAAAGCCCUGUCAGGUGGGAAGAAUGUCCCCAGGGUGAACAAUUUUGGGGAGUGACGGUACCACCAGAGGAAGCACCGGCUAACUCCGUGCCAGCAGCCGCGGUAAUACGGAGGGUGCGAGCGUUGUUCGGAAUCAUUGGGCGUAAAGGGCGUGCAGGCGGUUGGGUAAGUCUGAUGUGAAAGCCCGGGGCUCAACCCCGGAAGUGCAUUGGAAACUGUCCGACUUGAGUACCGGAGAGGAUGGGGGAAUUCCCGGUGUAGAGGUGAAAUUCGUAGAGAUCGGGAGGAAUACCAGUGGCGAAGGCGCCCAUCUGGACGGAUACUGACGCUGAGACGCGAAAGCGUGGGGAGCAAACAGGAUUAGAUACCCUGGUAGUCCACGCUGUAAACGAUGAGCACUAGGUGUGGCGGGUAUUGACCCCUGCUGUGCCGCAGCUAACGCAUU